UAUUCUGGUGUCUUAGGCGUAGAGGAACCACACCAAAUCCAUCCCGAAUUUGGUGGUUAAACUCUACUGCGGUGACGAUACUGUGGGGGAGGCCCCGCGGAAAAAUAGC
RNAcentral lists this ribosomal RNA (109 nucleotides) under Centrolepis monogyna. The record is from RNAcentral. Lineage: Eukaryota; Viridiplantae; Streptophyta; Magnoliopsida; Poales; Restionaceae.